Molecule: ribosomal RNA, 466 nt
Filed under: uncultured bacterium
Lineage: Bacteria
Description: partial 16S ribosomal RNA
Rfam family: Bacterial small subunit ribosomal RNA
Source: RNAcentral
GACGAACGCUGGCGGCGUGCUUAACACAUGCCAGUCGAACGGAAAGGCCCUGCUUUUGUGGGGUGCUCGAGUGGCGAACGGGUGAGUAACACGUGAGUAACCUGCCCUUGACUUUGGGAUAACUUCAGGAAACUGGGGCUAAUACCGGAUAGGAGCUCCUGCUGCAUGGUGGGGGUUGGAAAGUUUCGGCGGUUGGGGAUGGACUCGCGGCUUAUCAGCUUGUUGGUGGGGUAGUGGCUUACCAAGGCUUUGACGGGUAGCCGGCCUGAGAGGGUGACCGGCCACAUUGGGACUGAGAUACGGCCCAGACUCCUACGGGAGGCAGCAGUGGGGAAUAUUGCACAAUGGGCGGAAGCCUGAUGCAGCAACGCCGCGCGGGAUGACGGCCUUCGGGUUGUAAACCGCUUUCGCCUGUGACGAAGCGUGAGUGACGGUAAUGGGUAAAGAAGCACCGGCUAACUACGUG